This 253-nucleotide ribosomal RNA is filed under the name uncultured bacterium. Its description in RNAcentral is "partial 16S ribosomal RNA". It matches the Rfam family "Bacterial small subunit ribosomal RNA", at positions 524 to 776 of the family's 1533-position model. The record is from RNAcentral.
UACAGAGGUCUCAAGCGUUGUUCGGAUUCAUUGGGCGUAAAGGGUGCGUAGGCGGCGCGGUAAGUCGGGUGUGAAAUCUCGGAGCUUAACUCCGAGACUGCAUUCGAUACUGCCGUGCUUGAGGACUGGAGAGGAGACUGGAAUUUACGGUGUAGCGGUGAAAUGCGUAGAUAUCGGGAGGAACAUCUGUGGCGAAGGCGACACCCUGGACCAGCACUGACACUGAGGCACGAAAGCGUGGGGAGCAAACAGG